Long non-coding RNA from Mustela lutreola (European mink), 2191 nucleotides. RefSeq lists it as uncharacterized. NCBI's taxonomy places the organism in Eukaryota, Metazoa, Chordata, Mammalia, Carnivora, Mustelidae. The transcript is spliced from 4 exons. The record is from RefSeq and is a predicted model, not a curated record.
GCAAAGCAAGUGCCACCCUCUGCACUCCGUCAAGGGCAUGGGAACUGGAGGACCCAGUCAAGGGCCUGCAGCCACGGCUGCUGGUGCCACUGAGUUCCAUGAAUCAGACAACAUCCAACCUAGCAGACAGAAAUGAGCUCUGAGGAACUGCGCAGAAGCAACUCAGAACAAGGAAAUUAUGCUGGACACUAAAAUCAGAUCCCACAUCUUUGAAAAGAAAAUGUGAACACCUGUAUCCAAGGUGUCCUUGAGAGUUAAGUAAGACAUCGUGGUGAUGCCCCCAGUGCACAGCUGCGGAUGAGAAGGAAAGGAGAACAAGAUGAAGUCCGAAGAGCGGGUUUGGAUACAGGGACAAACGAUGCAGCUGAUAUACACCUGCCCUCAUUGCCGUGUGCGCACACACACGCACACAUGCACACACGCAUGUACCUGAUUCAUCCGUCCUCCAGCCAACUUUCUAAAAAGAGUUCAAUAGUUUAAAAUAUUCAUAGCAAAUCUUCUCUCAGUUUUUGGCAUAAUUGAGUAAUCCAACCACUGAAUAAAGAAGGACUUGAUAUUUUUGGCUUCCUAGAAACUGUAGGGGAGGAAAACACUUCCUUCUACCCUUUCAGAUUCUGCAGCUAGUUUAAGAAUUAAGUUGACAUAGGACAGAUUAAUCAGGAGGAAAAACUCCAACUUUGAUUACGUACGUACUCAUGAGGUCUCACAAAAAUAUGAGACCAAGGUCAUUCUCAGAUGACCGAGAUUUACACAGCAUCUUGAGGUAAAGGAAAGGGUGAGGGUGGUCAUGGCUUUGAGGCGGAAGAGACAAAUUCUGGCCUGGGUGAGAGACGGAAGGGAAAACAGGCACAACCAGUAAAUCCCAGGAGCCUUGUUGUGCAGAUAAGGACCUCUCAGGUGAAAGACCACAUCUGGUAGCUCUCUUCCUGGUGUAUUUGCUAAGGGAAAUUUCCUUUAUAAAUGUAAAUUUCCUCUGUAAGAGGGGAAGUACAUACUUUUCUUAGGGGUCUUAGGGGGCGGUAAAGAGCUUUACCUGUGCCUGCUGAUUUUCUCUCCCCUUUGCCUCAAAUAAUCCAUAUGCCAAAGUGUCAUAUUUGGGCGCAGCCUGUUCUGAACCUUUUACAUUUUUUCAGCAUGAAAGAACACAAAAUGUAUAACCUUGACCAAACUUUACUCAGAAAUAUCAGUGUGCUCACAAUAAGGACUUCCUUAGGGCUGCUAGUGGGGAUCACUGCCUCCUUAAAUCCAUGGGGGGGCAAACCCCCCAGAGCCCCAAGAACAGAAUUCAGUCUAUCCUGGGGGUGUCCGACAGCUCAAGAGACUGAAAAGAAAAUGGGAUUGAACAAGUUUUCAUCUGAAUGCUGAGGAACCCCAGUGACUUGGACUUUUUGCCCUGGUUAGGUGUUGGGUGGAAGCAAGACUGGGGCAAAGACAACUUGAGGGGAGCUGGGCGGGACCAGGAUGAACUGCACACUCCAGAUACCUGCAGCACAGGUGCCCUGUCCGCUCCUCCUGGGAACUGGGAGCUACAGGAGCACCUAGUCACCAUGCAAGGGAAGGGGGGAGGGUAGGGGUGACCGUGGAUCUCAGGUCUGGAAGGUUUUGAUGGUGGAUAGGACGUCUUAUCAAUGCCAGACUUGCUUCCGAUAGGAGCACUCCACUAGCAUAGAUUUAACCCAGAAAUUAGGAACGCAGACAAUUGUUCGUGUCCCCAGUGGCUCUGGCCAGAAACAAUUAUCCGCUUGGCUCAUUAAAACAAGUAACGAAUGCUAAUUGUCUCCACAAUUAGCCAAGUACUGGUUCAGCCACUUGUGCCUACAGUACGGGAUUGCGUGCGAGAGUGGCUGGCAAGAGGAGGACUUAAAUUCAGCCCUAAAUAGUCUGUCAUUCUAUUUUUUUUUCUCUUUAUGCAGGGAGUGUGGGGUGCAGGAUAUAAAGAGGGAGCUUGGUCAAGGUGACCCCGACGCUAUUUUCUAGCUUUCAGAUAUGGAGAUUUGUGGUGAAAGCAAAUGCAUAGACUCAUAGAGGAUCCAUUUCCUCUGAGUCUACAUAAUCAGGAAAGUCCCUGGAGGGAGGAAGGAGAAGGAAGGAGAAGGUCCCUGGAUGGGAAGGAAAGGGAGGAGGAGAGAAAUACCACCCACACAAGGCAACAUUCCCUGAAUUUCUGGAAGUUUCCUUAGGCCCUACCAAG